GAUGAACGCUGGCGGCGUGCCUAAUACAUGCAAGUCGAGCGAACAGACGAGGAGCUUGCUCCUCUGACGUUAGCGGCGGAUGGGUGAGUAACACGUGGAUAACCUACCUAUAAGACUGGGAUAACUUCGGGAAACCGGAGCUAAUACCGGAUAAUAUAUUGAACCGCAUGGUUCAAUAGUGAAAGACGGUUUUGCUGUCACUUAUAGAUGGAUCCGCGCCGCAUUAGCUAGUUGGUAAGGUAACGGCUUACCAAGGCAACGAUGCGUAGCCGACCUGAGAGGGUGAUCGGCCACACUGGAACUGAGACACGGUCCAGACUCCUACGGGAGGCAGCAGUAGGGAAUCUUCCGCAAUGGGCGAAAGCCUGACGGAGCAACGCCGCGUGAGUGAUGAAGGUCUUCGGAUCGUAAAACUCUGUUAUUAGGGAAGAACAAAUGUGUAAGUAACUAUGCACGUCUUGACGGUACCUAAUCAGAAAGCCACGGCUAACUACGUG
RNAcentral lists this ribosomal RNA (497 nucleotides) under uncultured bacterium. Its description in RNAcentral is "partial 16S ribosomal RNA". It matches the Rfam family "Bacterial small subunit ribosomal RNA", at positions 28 to 507 of the family's 1533-position model. The record is from RNAcentral.